AUGUAUGACAGUAUUGAAUCACGGCGAGAGACCCGAUCUACUUGGAUGUGUAGACCUGGGAGUUGGAACAAUUCACCAAGAGAAGCCAGUUCGUGUAUAACAGAAUGGGUGGAAUUUAUCAUGAGAUCCUACCCAAAUCCGAGUACUUCUCCAAGGCACUGUACACCUUCCAUUUCGCCCAAAACGAUCUCUCUGUGGGCUACUUCACCAAUAAGACUACCAAACAGAUUGAGGCCUAUGACCCCGAUCCUAAGGAGCGGUUCACUGUGGCAAUGUAGAAACUCCGCGGAAAGCUGCUGCAGAUAG
RNAcentral lists this ribosomal RNA (306 nucleotides) under Triticum aestivum (bread wheat). Its description in RNAcentral is "partial small subunit ribosomal RNA". The record is from RNAcentral. Lineage: Eukaryota; Viridiplantae; Streptophyta; Magnoliopsida; Poales; Poaceae.